This 255-nucleotide ribosomal RNA is filed under the name uncultured bacterium. RNAcentral's name for it is "partial 16S ribosomal RNA". It matches the Rfam family "Bacterial small subunit ribosomal RNA", at positions 99 to 354 of the family's 1533-position model. The record is from RNAcentral.
CGGACGGGUGAGCAACGCGUGGGUAACCUGCCUCACACAGGGGGAUAACAGUUGGAAACGACCGCUAAUACCGCAUAACCCGCUGGUGCCGCAUGGCACUGACGGAAAAGAUUUAUCGGUGUGAGAUGGACCCGCGUCUGAUUAGCCAGUUGGCAGGGUAACGGCCUACCAAAGCGACGAUCAGUAGCCGGCCUGAGAGGGUGAACGGCCACAUUGGGACUGAGACACGGCCCAGACUCCUACGGGAGGCAGCAG